GAUGAACGCUGGCGGCGUGCCUAAUACAUGCAAGUCGAACGCACAGCGAAAGGUGCUUGCACCUUUCAAGUGAGUGGCGAACGGGUGAGUAACACGUGGACAACCUGCCUCAAGGCUGGGGAUAACAUUUGGAAACAGAUGCUAAUACCGAAUGAAACUUAGUGUCGCAUGAUACGAAGUUAAAAGGCGCUUUGGCGUCACCUAGAGAUGGAUCCGCGGUGCAUUAGUUAGUUGGUGGGGUAAAGGCCUACCAAGACAAUGAUGCAUAGCCGAGUUGAGAGACUGAUCGGCCACAUUGGGACUGAGACACGGCCCAAACUCCUACGGGAGGCUGCAGUAGGGAAUCUUCCACAAUGGGCGAAAGCCUGAUGGAGCAACGCCGCGUGUGUGAUGAAGGCUUUCGGGUCGUAAAGCACUGUUGUAUGGGAAGAACAGCUAGAAUAGGGAAUGAUUUUAGUUUGACGGUACCAUACCAGAAAGGGACGGCUAAAUACGUGCCAGCAGCCGCGGUAAUACGUAUGUCCCGAGCGUUAUCCGGAUUUAUUGGGCGUAAAGCGAGCGCAGACGGUUGAUUAAGUCUGAUGUGAAAGCCCGGAGCUCAACUCCGGAAUGGCAUUGGAAACUGGUUAACUUGAGUGCAGUAGAGGUAAGUGGAACUCCAUGUGUAGCGGUGGAAUGCGUAGAUAUAUGGAAGAACACCAGUGGCGAAGGCGGCUUACUGGACUGUAACUGACGUUGAGGCUCGAAAGUGUGGGUAGCAAACAGGAUUAGAUACCCUGGUAGUCCACACCGUAAACGAUGAACACUAGGUGUUAGGAGGUUUCCGCCUCUUAGUGCCGAAGCUAACGCAUUAAGUGUUCCGCCUGGGGAGUACGACCGCAAGGUUGAAACUCAAAGGAAUUGACGGGGACCCGCACAAGCGGUGGAGCAUGUGGUUUAAUUCGAAGCAACGCGAAGAACCUUACCAGGUCUUGACAUCCUUUGAAGCUUUUAGAGAUAGAAGUGUUCUCUUCGGAGACAAAGUGACAGGUGGUGCAUGGUCGUCGUCAGCUCGUGUCGUGAGAUGUUGGGUUAAGUCCCGCAACGAGCGCAACCCUUAUUGUUAGUUGCCAGCAUUCAGAUGGGCACUCUAGCGAGACUGCCGGUGACAAACCGGAGGAAGGCGGGGACGACGUCAGAUCAUCAUGCCCCUUAUGACCUGGGCUACACACGUGCUACAAUGGCGUAUACAACGAGUUGCCAACCCGCGAGGGUGAGCUAAUCUCUUAAAGUACGUCUCAGUUCGGAUUGUAGUCUGCAACUCGACUACAUGAAGUCGGAAUCGCUAGUAAUCGCGGAUCAGCACGCCGCGGUGAAUACGUUCCCGGGUCUUGUACACACCGCCCGUCACACCAUGGGAGUUUGUAAUGCCCAAAGCCGGUGGCCUAACCUUUUAGGAAGGAGCCGUCUAAGGCAGGACAGAUGACUGGGGUGAAGUCGUAACAAGGUAGCCGUAGGAGAACC
RNAcentral lists this ribosomal RNA (1503 nucleotides) under Leuconostoc pseudomesenteroides. RNAcentral describes it as "bacterial SSU rRNA". It matches the Rfam family "Bacterial small subunit ribosomal RNA". The record is from RNAcentral. Lineage: Bacteria; Bacillati; Bacillota; Bacilli; Lactobacillales; Lactobacillaceae.